GAUGAACGCUGGCGGCGUGCCUAAUACAUGCAAGUCGAGCGAACGGACGAGAAGCUUGCUUCUCUGAUGUUAGCGGCGGACGGGUGAGUAACACGUGGAUAACCUACCUAUAAGACUGGGAUAACUUCGGGAAACCGGAGCUAAUACCGGAUGAUAUUUUGAACCGCAUGGUUCAAAAGUGAAAGACGGUCUUGCUGUCACUUAUAGAUGGAUCCGCGCUGCAUUAGCUGGUUGGUAAGGUAACGGCUUACCAAGGCAACGAUGCAUAGCCGAACUGAGAGGGUGGUCGGCCACCCUGGAAGGGAGACACGGUCCAGACUACUACGGGAGGCAGCAGUAGGGAAUCUGCCGCAAUGGGCGAAAGCCUGACGGAGCAACGCCGCGUGUGUGAUGAAGGUCUUCGGAUCGUAAAACUCUGUUAUUAGGGAAGAACAUAUGUGUAAGUAACUGUGCACAUCGUGACGGUACCUAAUCAGAAAGCAACGGCUAACUACGUG
Molecule: ribosomal RNA, 497 nt
Filed under: uncultured bacterium
Lineage: Bacteria
Description: partial 16S ribosomal RNA
Rfam family: Bacterial small subunit ribosomal RNA
Source: RNAcentral